AGCGAACGCUGGCGGCAGGCCUAACACAUGCAAGUCGAACGGAUCCUUCGGGAUUAGUGGCGGACGGGUGAGUAACACGUGGGAACGUGCCCUUUGGUUCGGAACAACUCAGGGAAACUUGAGCUAAUACCGGAUGUGCCCUUCGGGGGAAAGAUUUAUCGCCAUUGGAGCGGCCCGCGUCUGAUUAGCUAGUUGGUGAGGUAACGGCACACCAAGGCGACGAUCAGUAGCUGGUCUGAGAGGAUGAUCAGCCACACUGGGACUGAGACACGGCCCAGACUCCUACGGGAGGCAGCAGUGGGGAAUCUUGCGCAAUGGGCGAAAGCCUGACGCAGCCAUGCCGCGUGAAUGAUGAAGGUCUUAGGAUUGUAAAAUUCUUUCAGCGGGGACGAUAAUGACGGUACCCGCAGAAGAAGCUCCGGCUAACUUCGUG
Molecule: ribosomal RNA, 433 nt
Filed under: uncultured bacterium
Lineage: Bacteria
Description: partial 16S ribosomal RNA
Rfam family: Bacterial small subunit ribosomal RNA
Source: RNAcentral